This 9783-nucleotide long non-coding RNA is filed under the name Olea europaea (common olive). RNAcentral's name for it is "long non-coding RNA (OEUR_LNC010702)". Lineage: Eukaryota; Viridiplantae; Streptophyta; Magnoliopsida; Lamiales; Oleaceae. The record is from RNAcentral.
AUAUGUUUAUAUGUGGCAUGCUUUAGCUGGAUACUGGGAAGGAGUUCCCCUUCUUUUGAAUCACUAAAGAAGUACAAUCCUAAGCUUGCUUAUCCAGUUCGAUCAUUGGGAAAUGCACCAUAAGUUCCACCAUAAGCUCUAAUAAUUGUACGAAGUAUUUUCUUCAUUUUAGAUUGUAAGAGCAGGCAUAUUUAUACUAAUCAAUGUCUUUAUAUUUCCUUUUGGAAGGCUCCUAAGGUUGAUGAGUUGAAGUUUCUUGCAUCCCAACUUUACUAUAGCAAUUCCGAAGGUUUGGUUUCAACUGGAAAAUUGAUCGAGGUAAAAUUUCAAAGAUACAUUGCUUCCAUAAAUGUUUUGUUCAUGCAAUUUCAUCAAUAUAAAAAGUAUGAUCAUUGGAGCUACAUAAUAACUUAAAAGAAGGGGGCAUAAAGUAAAUGUCUUGCGAGGUUAUGGGUGUUGGGAUUUGAAUCCAAAAUCACCACCAUAUAUUAAUGUGUGGAAUUAAUUGGUCCUAAAUAACUAUGUUAACUAAAUGCCAAAGUAUAUUUUUUUGUUCGCUUAUUUAGUUGAUUAAUUAGUGCAAUUACAUUCAAGACAAUAGUAUCUCCAACUUCGAUUAAUUCUAUUUGGGAGUGCUUGAUAAAUGCAAUUUAUGCACUUAUUUAGGCCACAUUAUUAAACUUUAAGUCAUUCAAUUAUUAAUUUAUAUUUAACUUUGAUCAAUUUUCUUUUUAUUUUCAGUGAUGGACUUGCCGGAAGCAAUUGGAGAGAAAAGGACGAUUAUCGAAUAAAAAUGCAAUUUUGGGAUCAAACUCAACGUGCUAGAAAUUGAAAGACUUAAGUGCAUUAAUUAUAAGGAAGUGAGGCCUUGAAAGAUAAAUUGUAACUAAUUGGGCCUCAAAUAAAUGGAAAGUGAAAAAGAAUACUUGGGCCUCAAUAAUUGUAGAAAAUGGGCUGCCUUGGGAUUUAUAAAAGAUAGAUAGAAAACGGCAGCCAGGAGAAAAAGGAAAACGGGAGAAAAACCUAAAAGAGAAUUAGUCUUCUUUGGGGAGUCAACAAAAACGGCUGCUAGGGGGGGCGGGGAGAAAAGAGGAGAAUUUGGACGGCUGCUGGUAGAAAGAAAUUGAGUAACAGUAGGGCUACCAAACUAUAUUAUAUAUAUACACAUUGAGAGGCCGCUAACGGAGUUGCUGGGGAAUUAAAAAGGCAGCUGCUUGGAGGAAAAUAAAAGUUGGCUUUGAAAGUCAGGCACUGCAGGCUGUUGGAAAAAAGGAAGGGAUGAAUUCUUGCGGCUUUGCUUUGGAAUUCAAUCACAGUGGCAGCCAAAUUAAAGGAAGCAAAACGGGAGAAUAAUCUAGAGAAAAUUGGUCGUUUUUGGGUAACAGUAGGGCUGCCAAACUAUAUUAUAUAUAUACACAUUGGGAGGCCGCUAACGGAGUUGCUGGGGAAUUAAUCUAUAGACAAAAAGGCAGCCAAUUGGGGGAUUAAUACACAUUGAUACACACGGAACCGAGAGGAAGAAAAACCAUAGAAAAGCUGGUUGGAAAUAAGAGAUUUCACAUUGGAUUCCAAGAAAGGCUGCCGGCUGAGUUUUUUGUGCAACUUUCUUCAAUAAUUGUGCAAGGAGCUUGAAAAUUGAAUCACUUUCCGUCGAUUUUCGGUGAUUUCCUUCCACUUUUAUUUGUUUAAUUCAACAUGAUGCUAGGCUAAAUCUUUACAUAUUUGCGCACCAUUAGGACAAUAAAUUGCUUAUUCGUAGUGUUGGAAAACUCAUGAUAGGUAGAGCACUAUUAUUGGGACACACGGACAAUAAAUAUUAGGAAUAAUAUUUGUGACGUGUAUGAUCAUACGUGAUAAUCUUAAAUGUCAAUGCAUGUUUGCUAUAUGAAUUCGGACUAGGAAUAGGAUCGUCUUGUGGUAACCAUAUAUUUAUUAUAUCUUAGAAGAGAAUAAUAAAUAAAACUGAAAUUAUCGAUUGUCGCAAUUGCAAAAAAUUUACGUAGUUAUUACUGGUUGAGAAUUAGAAUUAAGUAUUGAUCAGUGGCAUCAAAAAUCUAACACGUUGACACGUUUGUUUUUUAAACCAACUUUCAUUGUUUUUGCAAGUUUUAGUUAUAAAAAUUUGUUAGCUAUUCAUUUGAUCCUUUUUUUUUUUAAUUACAAACACGAAUUUAAAUAUAUCAAAUAUACCAGAAUUGAUCAUUGUUCCCUGUGGGACGAUAAUUCUGCCAUCAUGAUUAUUACUUGUACAACGAACCCAUAUGCUUGCGGGAUUUUGACGAACAAUGCUUAUUAACUCUAACUUUAACCUAUGUUUGUCUCUUUCUUUUCUAGUGCAUUAAAUAUUAGCAUCAAGUUUAGAUUAAAUUGAUUUCUUGUGAAUUUGAUUGCAUUAUUACUCCUUGGAAUGUACUUAGCUUUUACCUUGAUAGCGUCUUUUAGGUGUAGAAUUCUUUAAUUCAAAUAUUUUGGUUAAAGCUUUAUAUGAAAUAAUGUUUCUGUUAUAUAUUAUUAUUUUAUUUCAAUUAUUUGUGAGUCAGAGAUUGCAAGCAUAUAUGAGAAUAUAGGAAAUGUGCAAGAAACUCAAGCUUCUUUACUGUGAGAAAGAGCAUCUCCCAAUUUCAAGCUUGACACUUUUUGAAAUUUAUUUUUCUUCUAUGUUCAGAUGGUUGUUUUAUUUUUUUUUCCUUUACUUUAUCACAAUUCAACUAAAGAUACUAAGGAUAUGUUUAAUUGCAAGCAUGAAAUUUACAUGAAAAGAAAAUAAUUUCUGGGCAAUUGAAAAUUGUCAAUUAUAGUGUUUAAUUGAUUUUAUUUUCAACCUAGAAAAUAUUAUACUUGUCAAUUUUUUAUUAAUAGGUAAAUAGGAGAGAGAGGGAGUAGAUGAGAGAGAAAUAGAGAAUGAAUUACCUGGAAAAUAAAAACCUACUCUUGUUUUGAAGGAAAAUAUGGUCAUGUGACCAAAAGUAGGAAAAUAUUUUCCAUGGAAAAAAAUCAAUCAAAAUAGCUAAGAAGUAGGAAUUUGGGUAGAAAAAUAUUGGCAAUUAAAUGCACUAUUAACUUAUAUUAAAACUUUAUCAUGAAGAUUAUAAGGCAAAAGAUUUUGUUGGAGCCAGUUAGAAAAUGAGUUAUGUAGUAUAUGAUAAUCGCGCAACUAUUACUUGCACGAAAUGUUCAAAUUCUCUGAAAGUGACUAUUAAUUAGGAAAUGAGAGAUUUACUUUUAUGUAAAUCUUAUAGGAAUAUAGAAAAGUCGUCUAUCAAUGAAUUAUAUUGUGUUAAAUAUUUGUACAUAUUGACAUUAAAUAAGUUAACUUCUUCUUAAUGGAGGCAUGUUGACUAUAAGCCAUUGGAUAAGAGAGUUCAUUUGAUGAUUGUGCAAAAGAGACUAAGAGCUUAUUUGGGAGUGAUUUUUCACCCCCAAAAAUUGAUUUUUUGAUCCUUAUUUCACUAUUCCAACCGUGAAGUUUAACUACUUCUCUCACGGGUGGCCCCCACUUUUUUCCUAACGGUCACAAAAUCAAUUCUCAAAAUCACUCUCAAACGGGGCCUAAGAAGAAAUUACAGUAUGAUAUACUCGAUCUUGUAAUGACUAGUUUUGAGACUAAUCAAAUUCAUUGCCUUUGUGACCAGAUUUGUUGGCGGUGUGUUUAUCUUGAAAUUGUUAAAUUUGAUUCUUUGAGGAUAUUUAUAUACAUGAACUGGGACCUUGUCCAAAAAAAGCUUUCUCUAAAGCUACUGAUUAGCUUGGGUAAGAUGAUAUUUUAUUAUUUUCAAUUUUUAAUCGGUCCAUGUUUUUCUAUUUAUUUUAUCAAAUUUAAUCCAUUAGUACUUACUAGCAUGUGAAUAUAUGAAAUUGUACAGUAAAUAGAAAGUUCUACCAUAUAAGAUAUUGUAAAAAAUUGGUAAUAAACCAUCGCUUACACUUUCUUUAAUUACGACUUUAUCCUCCUCCUAGCAUAGCCUCCUGCUUUGAUCGAAAAAUUGACUAAGGACAGAAGCAAGCUACAAGCAUUAGCAACUGCUUUCAUUUUAUGGAAAUGGGAUCCCCAAUAGCUAGAGACAAAAGAUUCAUAUGAGAAAAGAUAAGUAAACGGGCCUCCACCUGAGCCUCCAAAGAUAAAGGUACAUGAAUAGCCAUUUGAUCCCCAUCAAAAUCUGCAUUGAAUUCCUUACUAAUGGAUGUAAACAAAUAGCAUGCCCCUUCACUAAAACGGGCUGGAAUGCCUGUAUGCCUAAUCUAUGCAGAGUGGGUGCUCUAUUCAGCAAUACAGGAUGCCCCUGCAUAACUUCCUGAAGUAUUUCCCAUACAAUCAGUUCUUUUUCCUGAAUUUUACUCUUAGCAACUCCUAUGUUCGAAGCAAGAUGUUGUUUAAUUAGACCACGAAUUACAAAUGUCUGGAAAAGCUCUAUUGCUAUUUCGCGCAGCAAUCCACAUCGAUGUAAUGAAAGUGAAGGACCAAUGACGGAAUGACCUGAAUAUUGGGUUAUCCAUUUUUAGUAAGUUACUAUUUAGCCUCAUUAUUUGAAAUUUUAGAGUUAUGCUAUAUAGCCACAAUGGGUUGCAACCCUAGUUUAGUUAAUCCUAGAUGGUAGGCUAAAUGAAAGGUGAAAUUCAAUGACUUAUUUAAUUCCACUUAUUAUUUAAUGUCAAAUUAACGCCACCUAGAUUGGGGUUGUAACCCUAGUGGGGUUAAUAGGAUUACUCAAAAUUAUACGGUUGGGAUAUUGUUGUUGUUGUUUUUUUUUUUUUUUAAUUGUGUGAUAAAAAAAGAAGAAAUUUUUUUUGGGAUUAUGUAUAAUAUUAUUUUAUUGAAGAAUAUAUAUUUGAUAAGAAGAUAGAGAAAAAUGAAUUAUAAUUUUAAUAGGGCCAAACACGGGUUAAAUAAUGUAUGCAAGUUGCAAAGCUUGUACAGAUUGUUUUCUCAGAUGGUAAUAGUCAUUAUCUUUAAUCAUACCAUUCUUUUUUCUAUAAUAUUUAAUUGUAUUUAUUAUGUUGGAAAUUUUAAUGACAUGUAUGGUGAACAGCAUUUGGUAGAUCAACUUUUUUUUCGAAGUACGUCAAUUUUGUUUGGCAAUAGUUCAUCGUGUUCCCAUCAAACUUCUUCGUCCAAUGCUUUGUUUACUAACUCAAUUAGAAUCAAUUUUACUAGGGAUGUGUUAGUUGUUGAACAAGCCAAUUUGCUGUAUUAUAUAUGUAGGUUCACUUUUAGUACUCAUCCGGAAACCAGAUAUGUAAUAAAAAUAUUUUUGAUCUUCAUGUUACCAAUAAUAUAAAUGAUUGUUUUAAUGUAUCUUGUUAUUGUAAAGUAGAACACUUUGUUGUGAUAUUUGCACAUUGAGACGUCCAAGGUCAUUUAUACUUAAGUCGGCCUUUAUAAUUUGUUGUGACGUUUCUGUACUUUUUCAAAAGGUUAGACUGCGAUUUUUCUCCCAUUGUUGUUAUUUAAAUGCUAAUGUAAUGAGAGAGAAAUGUCUCACCUUUACUUAAUGAAUUUCUUCUUUUUCGUUUUUUAAUUAAAUUUAAAAUAAUGAAUUAUGAAAAUUGGCUUCAUAUGCACCAGCCUUUGUGCAAGGAAGGCAUGUGUGAUGGCUAAGAUGAACAUAUCUUCGUUUGCUUAUUUUCAUAAAUUUAUAAUUAUGCUACUCUUCAAAUACACUCUUAAGCACUUUGAAGCUAUGUUCUUAGAAUUUAACUCAUUGAGUUGUUGUUUGUCUAUCAUUCUCCGAAAAUUCUUUUUUUUUUCUUUUUAAACCCAUUUUCAAUCAUACAUUAUCAUAAUGAAAUAUUUUGCAUGUGAAUUCAAAAAUUUUCUUACCUUUCAACCACACAUUAUUAGAAAAAUUACUAUUUCAAAACUUAUUCUCCUAAAAAAUUCUUUCUAAUAGGCAUUAAAUAAGUGUUGAUGUUGAUAUAAUGAGAUUGUAUUGUUCUUCUGUUGUCAAAAUAUGGAUUCUAAUGUUCAAUUUGAAUUUAAAUAAUUAAUAUAUUAUACUUUUACAACUGGAUAAAAUAUUGAAAGGUGUUUUAAUUCAAAAACUAUGGGAUUUGUAAUAUCACGCAUUCUUUGUGAAAAAUGGUAAAGUUUGAUUCUUUUGUUCUUUUGCAUUACAAAUGACACAUGUUCCGAAUAAGGUGUCUCCCAAUGCAACGGUUUUGUUAAUAGUUGGACGUCACAUUGUGGUUCCAUUGUUGUAGAUGACAUAGCUCCGAAGUUCAUAGCGAUUUUGGAGAGUCGACUAGAUAGCUUUGAAAAUGGCCCAAAUAUUGAAGAUAGAGAGUCCGUGUGUUCGUUGUUUUCCAAAUUGUAUACAAUUGAUAACAUCAUCUAUCAAUUGUUAUAGUAAAUUCUUUAGAUUGAUUUUAAUGUAUUAAUUCAUGGAACACUUUACAUUUGUGUUGUGGCAUCAAUUUGCUCGAUUAUGUUAGGAACCUUAGUUCAUAGCAGCGAAUUUUUUAACUUUAAAACGAUAGAUUGUUUAUUUUUUUAUUCAAUUAGUCACGUGCUUGGAAACAUGUCAUUAAGGGCAGUGUUCAAAUUCUGAACAUCUUGUAUUCAGGAAAGAGAUGUUAUCUUUUCAUCAAGAUAUUCAGUAAAUAUCUCUCGUCUAUGGAUAAAUAUUUUUUUCUGAGUACAAGGUAUUCAGAGCUUGGCCAUUGCCCCCAACAUUAUAUGUUUUCAACUAUCAAUUGAAUAAAAAUAAAUAAUCCAUCAUUUUAAUGAUAGUAAAUUCACUGUUAUAAACCAAGGUUCCUAGCAUAAUCAAGUAAUUUUGUAAUUCUUAUUGAUUUCACGACACAAAUGUAAAGUGGUUUAUGAAUGAACACAUUAAAAUCUAUCUAAAGAAUUUACUAUAACAAUUGACAGAUGCUGUUAUCAACUGUAUACAAUUUAAAAAACAACGAAUGCAUACUCUAUCUUUAAUAUUUUGGUCGUUUUCAAAGCAUUGCAGUUGACUCUCCAUAAUCUCUGUGAACUUUGGAGCUAUGUCAUUGACAAAAGUGAAACCCCAAGGUGUUGUCCAACUAUUAACAAAAUCAUUAUAUUGGGGUAAAAGAAUCAGACUUACCAUAUUUCACAAAGAAUGCAUGAUGUUACAAAUCCCUCAUUUUCUUAAUUAAAGUUCCUUCCAAUGUUUUAUCCAGUGGGAGAAGUAUAAUAUAUUGAUUAUCUAAAUUCAAAUUGGAUAUUAGAAUUCAUGUUUUGACAACGGAAGAACAAUACAAUCUCAUCAUAUCAGUACCAGCACCUAUUUGAUGUUUAUUAGAAAGAAUUUUUUUUGGGAAAAAUGAGUUUUGGAAUGGUUUUUUUUUUUUUUUGUUGAAAGGUAAUAAAAUAUUUUAUUGUGAGAAUGUGAUUGAAAGUGAGUUUUAAAAAAGAGUUUUUUGGGGAACGAUAGACAAAUAAGAGUUAAAUGCCAGUAAUCACAGCUUCAAAGUGUUCUAGUAUUUGGGAAUGAUAUCAUUAUAAAUUUAUGAAAAUAAGUAGAUAAAGAUAUUUUCAUUUUGGUCUUUUCACAUGCCAAAGGUUGAUGCAUAUGGAAGCCAAUUUUAAUAAUUUAUCAUAUUAAAUUUAAUAUAAAAGAAGAAAUUCACGAAGUAAAGGAAAGACAUUUCUCUCUCAUUAUAAUAUCAUUUAAAUAAUAACAAUGGGAGAAAAAUCGUGGUAGAACCUUUUGAAAAGGUACAUGAAAUUCACGACAACUUAUAAAUGUUGACUUCAGUAGAGACGACUAUUGAUAUCUCAAUGUGUAAAAUCUCACAACAAACUACUCUACUUUACAAAAAAUAUGGUACAUUAAAACAAUUAUUUAUAUUAUUUGUAACAUGUGGAUCAAAAAUAUUUUUAUUAUAUAUAUGUAUUAUAAGUGAAACUGUGUUUAUGAUACAACAGAUUGGUUUGUUCAACAGCUAAUACAUCCCCAGGAAAAUUGAUUCCAAUUGAGUUAGUAAACAAAGAAUUAGGCGGAGAAGUUUAAUGGGAACACAAGAACCAUUGCUGUACAAAAUUGAUAUACUUUGAAAAAAAAGUUGAUUAGCCAAAUGCUUUUCACCAUACAAGCCAUAAAAAUUUCCUGCAUAAUAAAUACAAUUGAAUAUUAAAGAAAAAUGAAUGGUAUGAUUCAAUAUAACGAUUGUUUCCAUCUCAGAAAAACAAGCUUUGCAGCGUGCAUCAUUUAGCCUAUGUUUGGCCCUACUGAAAUUAUAAUUUUUUUUCUCUAUCUUCUUAUCAACCAUAUAUUCUUCAAUAAAAUAAUAUUACACGUUAUCCUAAAACAUUUUUUCUUUCUUAAUCACACAAUUUAAAAAAGAAACACUAUUACAAAGGGUGUAUAAUCAAAGCAGGAGGCUAUGCUAGAAGAAGAGUAAAGUCGUAAUUAAAGAAAAUGUAAAUGACUUGAUAUGUUAGAACUUUUCAUUGAAUGCACAAUUCCAUAUAUUCAGAGUACUAACGGAUUAAGUUCGAUAAACUAAAUAGAAAAAAAAAUGGACCGGUAAAAGAUUGAAAAUAAGAGAAUAUCAUCUUACCCAAACUAAUUAGUAGCUUUAGAAAAAGCUUUCUUUGGACAAAGUCCCAGUUCAUGCAUAUAAAUUUCCUCAAAGAACCAAAUUUAACAGCUUCAAGGUGAAGACAUUGUCAACAUAUUAUCUGGUCACAAAGGCGAUUAAUUUGAAUGGUCUCAAAACUAGUUAAUACAAGAUCGGAUAUAUCAUACUGUAAUUUCUUCUUAUUCUCUUUUGCAAAAUCAUCAAAUGAACUCUCUUCGCCAAUGACUUGUAGCACCCGAACUUUUUCGAGAUCGGAGUUAGAAUGCCUCCACUCAGAAAAAUUAACUUAUUUAAUGCCAAUAUGUACAAAUGUUUAAUGGCGGCCUUUUUUACAUUUCUAUGAGAUUUAGAUUUAUGUAAAUCUUCCAUUUCCUGAUUAAUGAUCACUUCCAGAGUAUUUGCACAUUUUGCAUAAGUAAUAAUUGCGCGAUUAAUAUCCACUGCAUAGCUCCUUUUCUAAUUAGCUCCAACAAAACCUUUUGCUAUAUAGUCUUCGUGAUAAAGUUUUAAAUAUAAGUUAAUAUCUUUAGUUGAAUUGUGAUAAAGUAAUGGAAGAGAAUAUAACAACCAACUUAACAUUUAAAAAAAAAAGAAUAAAUUUCAAAAAGUGCCAAUCCUUAAAUUGGGAGAUGCUCUUCCCCCACAUUAAAGAAGCUUGAGCUUGUUGCACAUUUUCUAUAUUCUCAUAUAUGCUUGUGAUUCACAAGUAAUUGAGAUAAAAUAAUGAUAUAUAAUAUAAACAUUCCAUCCUACAUAUAAAAGAGUGGAAGAAUUGCCGGACACAUGUUGAGCCAAGCACUUGACGAUAUUCAGUUAGAUCACAUCCAGGUGAGCCAUCAUCAAGCUUGAGCGUUUCUGAAAUAGAUAUUGGGGUACUAACUUCCUUUGCCUCUUGCAUAUUAGUUCGUUGAAGAAGCUCUAGAAAAUACUUUCUUUGAGAUAAGAACAAACCAUUGAAGGUCCGAGUUGUUUCAACACCUAAGAAGUAGCCAAGUUUAUUGAGAUCUUUGAGAGAGAACCUAUUAGAUAGCUAACCGGUGAACUCUUGAAGAGUUGGAGGAUGAUUGCUGGUGAGUAUAAUGUCAUCUUGGAGUAUUACGCUAGAUUCCUAUCUUAUGAUGAUUUCGAUAUUCCUUUUCCAAUUGUCAUGCUAUUAUCAAUAUUAAGGUGAUAAUUAUAGAUAGGUUUGAUCAUUGACGACUUUAUAUGAGAAGACCGAUUGUCAACAUGGCC